UCGGGAAUAUUGCGCAAUGGAGGAAACUCUGACGCAGUGACGCCGCGUAUAGGAAGAAGGUUUUCGGAUUGUAAACUAUUGUCGUUAGGGAAGAAAAAAGACAGUACCUAAGGAGGAAGCUCCGGCUAACUACGUGCCAGCAGCCGCGGUAAUACGUAGGGAGCAAGCGUUAUCCGGAUUUAUUGGGUGUAAAGGGUGCGUAGACGGGAAUUUAAGUUAGUUGUGAAAUCCCUCGGCUUAACUGAGGAACUGCAACUAAAACUGGAUUUCUUGAGUGCAGGAGAGGAAAGCGGAAUUCCUAGUGUAGCGGUGAAAUGCGUAGAUAUUAGGAGGAACACCAGUGGCGAAGGCGGCUUUCUGGACUGUAACUGACGUUGAGGCACGAAAGUGUGGGGAGCAAACAGG
This 405-nucleotide ribosomal RNA is filed under the name uncultured bacterium. Its description in RNAcentral is "bacterial SSU rRNA". It matches the Rfam family "Bacterial small subunit ribosomal RNA", at positions 355 to 776 of the family's 1533-position model. The record is from RNAcentral.